UCGAGAAUCAUUCGCAAUGGGCGCAAGCCUGACGAUGCGACGCUGCGUGAGCGAUGAAGGCCUUCGGGUCGUAAAGCUCUUUCGCCCGGGAACAAGAGAAGCCUGCUAACAUCAGGCGGAUUUGAGGGUACCGGGUAAAGAAGCACCGGCUAACUCCGUGCCAGCAGCUGCGGUAAUACGGAGGGUGCAAGCAUUAAUCGGAUUUAUUGGGCGUAAAGGGCGCGUAGGCGGGAAGGAAAGUCAGAUGUGAAAUCCCAGGGCUCAACCCUGGAACUGCAUUUGAAACUUCCUUUCUUGAGGGUAGGCGGAGAAAAUGGAAUUCCACAAGUAGCGGUGAAAUGCGUAGAUAUGUGGAAGAACACCAGUGGCGAAGGCGGUUUUCUAGCUUACAUCUGACGCUGAGGCGCGAAAGCUAGGGGAGCAAACAGG
This 429-nucleotide ribosomal RNA is filed under the name uncultured bacterium. RNAcentral describes it as "bacterial SSU rRNA". It matches the Rfam family "Bacterial small subunit ribosomal RNA", at positions 355 to 776 of the family's 1533-position model. The record is from RNAcentral.